RNAcentral lists this ribosomal RNA (39 nucleotides) under Botryosphaeria dothidea. Its description in RNAcentral is "partial 18S ribosomal RNA". The record is from RNAcentral. Lineage: Eukaryota; Fungi; Ascomycota; Dothideomycetes; Botryosphaeriales; Botryosphaeriaceae.
CACCCGGAGCUUGAUUCGGGCUCCGGCCCGAUCCUCCCA